RNAcentral lists this ribosomal RNA (468 nucleotides) under uncultured bacterium. RNAcentral's name for it is "partial 16S ribosomal RNA". It matches the Rfam family "Bacterial small subunit ribosomal RNA", at positions 28 to 507 of the family's 1533-position model. The record is from RNAcentral.
GACGAACGCUGGCGGCGUGCUUAACACAUGCAAGUCGAACGGAAAGGCCCUGCUUUUGUGGGGUGCUCGAGUGGGGAACGGGUGAGUAACGCGUGAGUAACCUGCCCUUGACUUUGGGAUAACUUCAGGAAACUGGGGCUAAUACCGGAUAGGAGCUCCUGCUGCAUGGUGGGGGUUGGAAAGUUUCGGCGGUUGGGGAUGGACUCGCGGCUUAUCAGCUUGUUGGUGGGGUAGUGGCUUACCAAGGCUUUGACGGGUAGCCGGCCUGAGAGGGUGACCGGCCACAUUGGGACUGAGAUACGGCCCAGACUCCUACGGGAGGCAGCAGUGGGGAAUAUUGCACAAUGGGCGGAAGCCUGAUGCAGCAACGCCGCGUGCGGGAUGACGGCCUUCGGGUUGUAAACCGCUUUCGCCUGUGACGAAGCGUGAGUGACGGUAAUGGGUAAAGAAGCACCGGCUAACUACGUG